This 285-nucleotide unclassified non-coding RNA is filed under the name Hevea brasiliensis (rubber tree). The record is from RNAcentral. Lineage: Eukaryota; Viridiplantae; Streptophyta; Magnoliopsida; Malpighiales; Euphorbiaceae.
UUGAGCCUGAUGGGAUCUCUGCUAGUUAUAACUUGGUCCAGAUUUCGGGUGCCUAGAUUCUGGGGCUUUUGCCUCAUUGGCCUUUAUGUAUUUUUCAUGGUGGUUAGCUUAGUGAUUGCCAAGUUUUCNNNNNNNNNNNNNUCCUCAAAGUCAAAAUUUUGUUCGGUUAUUGCUAAAUUCUUUAUGCCACUAUAUAGGAAACCUUCACAGCUGUAUAUGUUAGGGGUGAUGCAUUAUAUACGCCUUGAUAUCAAGAGCAUAUUGCCAGGAUUAUGGAAUUUUUAU